RNAcentral lists this ribosomal RNA (389 nucleotides) under Chrysochromulina sp. Its description in RNAcentral is "partial small subunit ribosomal RNA". It matches the Rfam family "Eukaryotic small subunit ribosomal RNA", at positions 582 to 975 of the family's 1831-position model. The record is from RNAcentral. Lineage: Eukaryota; Haptophyta; Prymnesiales; Chrysochromulinaceae.
AUUCCAGCUCCAAUAGCGUAUAUUAAAGUUGUUGCAGUUAGAACGCUCGUAGUCGGAUUUCGGGGCGGGCCGACCGGUCUGCCGAUGGGUACGCACUGGUCGGCGCGUCCUUCCUUCCGGAGACCGUCCCUACUCUUAACUGAGCGGGGGCGGGAGACGGAACGUUUACUUUGAAAAAAUCAGAGUGUUUCAAGCAGGCAGUGCGCUCUUGCAUGGAUUAGCAUGGGAUAAUGAAAUAGGACUUUGGUGCUAUUUUGUUGGUUUCGAACACCGAAGUAAUGAUUAAAAGGGACAGUCAGGGGCACUCGUAUUCCGCCGAGAGAGGUGAAAUUCUCAGACCAGCGGAAGACGAACCACUGCGAAAGCAUUUGCCAGGGAUGUUUUCAUUA